AUGACAAUUCCCUGGAGCGCCCCAGCUCACCUCUGCCUGCCCUCGGGUUUGGGAUGGAUCAGCCUCAGCUCUGCGGCUCCUUCCCUCCCUGGCUCUGCCCGGCCUCUCUCAGGGGCUUUUACAGAGCCAUGGAACCAACAGAGCCAUGGAACCAUGGAAUUACAGAGCCAUGGAAUUACAGAGCCAUGGAAUUACAGAGCCAUGGAAUUACAGAGCCAUGGAAUCCCAGAGCCAUGGAACCAUGGAAUUACAGAGCCAUGGAACCACGAAACCACAGAGCCAUGGAAUCCCAGAGCCAUGGAAUCAUGGAGUCACAGAUCCACAGAAUCACAAAACCACAGACCCACAGAGUCACAGAACCACAGAAUGACCAGGUUGGAAGAGACCUCCAAGAUCAUCGAGUCCCACCCAGCCCAAGCACCACCACCUCAAGCAGCCCAUGGCACCGAGUGCCACACCCAGUCUUGUUUUAACCACAGCCAGGGCUGGUGGCUCCACCACUGCCCAGGAGGGCCAUUCCAGUCCUUUAUCCCCCUUUCAGGGAUGUCCAGGCUGGCAGAGCCAUUCCCCAGGGCUGGCACCGACCCUCUGUGCCCUGAACUGCCCCCAGCUCUGCUCCAGCACAGGGGGCACAGCCAGCUCAGGAAUUCUGUCCUUGCUCUAAAAGCUCUGCCAGCCCCGGUUGUGCUGGGGAUACAGGGUGUGCUCCCAGCCCUGGGAAUGCUGUCCAUGCUCAGGGAGCUGGGAAUGGGCUGGAGCUGCAGCCUCCAGCAGGGAGGGAGCUCCUCCAGGCACCUCCUUUUGGGAUCUUUUCCUGCUCAGGCCGGGCAGUGUUUGCAGUCCUGUUUGCCCAGGGAGGGUUGCAGUGCCCAUCCCAGAGAUGCCCAAGGAAUUCCUGGAGGUGGCACUCAGUGGAUGGGCACAGCUCGGAUCCUGGAGCUGUUUUCCAAGCUGAAUGAUCCUGGGAUUCCAGGAUUCUGUGGCAGCUGUGUACCUGAGCAGACCUCAUUAACUUCAGAUCAAAUGCAACACAAUUUCAUGCCCUGA
Molecule: long non-coding RNA, 1047 nt
Filed under: Parus major (Great Tit)
Lineage: Eukaryota; Metazoa; Chordata; Aves; Passeriformes; Paridae
Description: lncRNA (ENSPMJG00000006005.1)
Source: RNAcentral